This is a long non-coding RNA of Polistes dominula (European paper wasp), 1025 nucleotides long. RefSeq lists it as uncharacterized. The record is from RefSeq and is a predicted model, not a curated record. Lineage: Eukaryota; Metazoa; Arthropoda; Insecta; Hymenoptera; Vespidae.
UAUUCUAUUAAUAUAUAGAUAAAUUUACAUUCAAUUUUUAAUGAUUUCGAAUAUUUUUAAAAAUUAUUUCUGUCACUAUGUUUGUACCAUGGAGCCAGAUAACAGGAGAGCGAUCGACAUAGGAAAAUAACUAGCAAAUACGAAUGGAAAGAAAAGGAAAGAUUAUUUUCGGAAUUACGCCGCUAGGUUUCGUUAUGUUCGCUGAAGUCAGGUUUAUGACGUCAUAUUUUUCAUUGACAAUUGUUGACAAUACUGCAUUAUUAGCAAUUGCAUUAAUGUUUUUUUAAUUUAUAAAAAGUAAUAUUUAUUUCAAAAUGGUAAAGAAAUGUAUUGUUCAUGGGUGUAUAAGUGGACAAGUCAAGGAUCGUAAUAAGAAUGCUAAAUUAAAUCGGAGAAACACGUUUUUAUUCACUGUACCACAGCACCCUGAUCUGGUAAAAUUAUGAAGUAGUGGAUUAAACCAGCAAUUAAUACCAAAAAAACAAUACACAAAGAAUGCAACUACGAAUAUUUAAUGACGUCUCACCUUAAUCAAGAUCAACUGGAAAAAUUUUUUGGUAUCAUGAGAAGUGUUUGUCGCUGUAAUAAUCAUCCAGACACCAUUCUAUUUGGACAGGUUUUCUGAUUACUCUGUUCAUAUUCGCUAGUCACCCCUUCAAAAGGGUCUAAUGUCACGGCUGGUGAGCUUCUUCAGUCAUUAAUGCAAACAAAGGAAUCUCUGAUUGCAUCGAAUUCGUUAAAAAAAAUUGGCUUAAUGACAUUGAUGCAAUUAUUGAAAAUGGUAUUGUGAAUCACGAAAACUCAUCCAGUGAAAAUAUUAAUGAAUUCGUAGACUUAUUGUUUGUGAUGAAUAAUCAUGGUUUGACAGUGUAUUCUUAAUUACUGCAAAAGUUCAACAAAAACUACGCAAGACCGUCAAGACCAAAAUUUUAAGCAAACAAAUCUCAGUUCGAGUAAAACUAUGACCAUGUACCACAUUGAGAAAUAAAAAUAUGUUAAAAUAAAUCUAUUUUCUAAUUGUUUUA